RNAcentral lists this ribosomal RNA (253 nucleotides) under uncultured bacterium. RNAcentral describes it as "partial 16S ribosomal RNA". It matches the Rfam family "Bacterial small subunit ribosomal RNA", at positions 524 to 776 of the family's 1533-position model. The record is from RNAcentral.
AACGUAGGAGGCAAGCGUUAUCCGGAUUUACUGGGCGUAAAGCGCGCGUAGGCGGGUUUUCAAGUCGGUUGUGAAAUCCCUCAGCUCAACUGAGGAACUGCAUCCGAUACUGUUUGUCUUGAGGACGAGAGGGGAGAGUGGAACUUCUGGUGGAGCGGUGAAAUGCGUAGAUAUCAGAAGGAACGCCGGUGGCGAAAGCGACUCUCUGGCUCGUAUCUGACGCUGAGGCGCGAAAGCUUGGGUAGCAAACGGG